UCUCCUCCUGGUGUAAAACUAUGUGAAUUAUUUCUGCGUCAACAUGAUCGGACUGAGAAGUAAAUGACAGCUGCUGUCAGGUCUUCAGUUUUACCCGCAUUACCAGCUGAGGUCUGAAACUACCUCCAAGAGACAAACAAGAAAAUAAAGCGGUUAAAACAGAGACCGGAAGACUCUUUACAGCUGGGUGAAGCCAGGGGGACGAUGAUUUCUCAAUUUCACACAGAGGUGAAGCCGCAGAGAAAAUCAUGUGAAAGUCAAUGGCGGUGCGCUUUGUAUGUUCAAACCACAGGAAGUGUCACUGGGCAAGAGGCGAGGAGGAAACUAAAGGGGGGAAUUCACGCGUGUGUCGUCUACGUUUCGCCUGCUCUGGCUGUACUUCCCCGGCCCUGGAGCAGGCGCCCCGAGGAGGGGCUAGUGACGAAGCAGGCAUACAUAUAUGAGCAAGCUGCAGUUCUCUGCUGUCGGACCCAGCUGCUGCUCUGCUCUAACAUUUUUUAUUUAAACGGAGAAAAAUUCACGUCAUCAGAUAAUUCAGCUGUCGCGUCUCGAUGGAUUUUAUUGGAUAUUUCUUCUUCAUAUUCUUCACAUCACUGUCACCACCAGCGUCUGUGAGGAGAUUUAGAUUAUAGAAGUGAACACGUUGCAAAGCUUCAGUCAGUCGCAGAGUUUGAUGAAGGACCAAAACACUGGAACCUGCUGCAGCACUCCACACAGCAGGUUUCAGCAGGAGAACAUGGAUUCACCUGCAGAGGAGGAUCUCACCUGUCCUGUCUGCAGGGACGUCUUCAAAGAGCCUGUCGUCCUGUCAUGCAGCCACAGCUUCUGUAGAGACUGUCUGCAGAAGCGCUGGACAGACAGACAGACACAGGAGUGUCCACUUUGUAAGAGACGGUCAUCAAUGACCAUGAUUCCACCUGAUCUUACAGACCUGCUGUUGAAGGAGCUGACAGAGGAGAACUUCAGCAGCUCCUCUGAGUCUCUGCAGUCUGCACAGUGAGCAGCUCUUCAGUCUGGACCAUCAGCAGCCGGUGUGUCUCGUCUGUCUGCACACAUAUUAACAUUUACCCACGUGAGAAAUGGACUCUUAUUUCUGCAGCUCUUUCCCGUCUACUGACCGCUCAAAGCUGCUUUACAACAACUCAACAGUUUCACACAUUCACACAAACUGCUCAUCAGGAGAAAUUUGGGGUCCAGUAUCUUGCUCAAGGACACUUGGACAUGCAGCUUGGAGGAGCUGGGAAUCGAACCAGUGACCUUCCAAUUUCUAGACGACCCGCUGUGGCUCCUGAUCACAAACAGGAGCUUACUUGUGUUCGUGAUUCAGUUUUAUCAUCCUGUUUGUAAACUAAUGUCUUCAUUUAAAAAAUGUUCUGCUUUGACCUGAAAACUCAUUUUAUUCUGUUUAACUCGGCUUCCGAUCAGUACUUAAUAAUUCCUUUAAUUAAAACCUUUUAGAACCAUCAUGUCUUCGUUAUUUUACACAUUUUCAAUGGUGUCACAUGAUUUAAGCUCAGGUAGAGGAGUGUUUGUACUGUUUGUACUGUUCUGAAUACAUGUAUAAAGUUAUUAGUGUUGGAAAAAGUAUUGAAACAGACAAAAUGUUCAUUACUUGUGUCAGUGAUUCAGUUUCAUCAUCCUGUUUGUAAACUAAUAAAAGUUUUGAUGCUUUGACCUGAAAA
Acanthopagrus latus (yellowfin seabream) is the source of this 1682-nucleotide long non-coding RNA. RefSeq lists it as uncharacterized. NCBI's taxonomy places the organism in Eukaryota, Metazoa, Chordata, Actinopteri, Spariformes, Sparidae. The record is from RefSeq and is a predicted model, not a curated record. The transcript is spliced from 2 exons.